RNAcentral lists this ribosomal RNA (378 nucleotides) under uncultured bacterium. RNAcentral's name for it is "bacterial SSU rRNA". It matches the Rfam family "Bacterial small subunit ribosomal RNA", at positions 524 to 898 of the family's 1533-position model. The record is from RNAcentral.
AACGUAGGAGACAAACGUUAUCCGGAGUUACUGGGCGUAAAGGGCGUGUAGGCGGUUUGUUAAGUCUGGCGUGAAAGCUCUCGGCUAAACCGGGAGAGGUCGUUGGAUACUGGCGAACUAGAGGAUGGUAGAGGCGUGUGGAAUUCCGGGUGUAGUGGUGAAAUGCGUAGAGAUCCGGAGGAACACCAGUGGCGAAGGCGACACGCUGGGCCAUACCUGACGCUAAAGCGCGACAGCAUGGGGAGCAAACGGGAUUAGAAACCCCGGUAGUCCAUGCCGUAAACGAUGCCAGCUAGAUGUUCAGUUCGCGCAAGCGAGCGGGGUAUCGAAGCAAACGCGAUAAGCUGGCCGCCUGGGGAGUACGGUCGCAAGGCUAAA